RNAcentral lists this long non-coding RNA (543 nucleotides) under Elaeis guineensis (African oil palm). RNAcentral's name for it is "long non-coding RNA (EGUI_LNC037555)". Lineage: Eukaryota; Viridiplantae; Streptophyta; Magnoliopsida; Arecales; Arecaceae. The record is from RNAcentral.
CGGGCGAGGCCCUGCCCCGAACGUGGGUUCAUCCGCAGAGACAGGGGCCUAGGGGUUUGAAGCAGAAGAACUCCUAGAACUUGCGGGGGCAGAAGAAUCGGAAGACAUUUUUCUUUGGGGAAGAACCUAAAGGACCCUAGAAAAGCAAGAUGAGAGGGGAGGGAGACACCGGAGGUCAACUCAGGAGAAAAUACAAAAGAAGUGAAAGGAGGAGAGGACCCUAGGCGGUAAGAAGAAGAAGGUGGGCACUAACCUAUCUUGCUCUGGAGGCCUGGGAAGCGAGAAACGGAAGGCGCCUAUGGCUCGAGAGGGCGUUCGUUAGAGCGGACUCUCGGGGAGAUGACAGACGCCAGCAAGAAAUCAGAAACGGAGUGGGGCACCUGAAGGGGGAGGACGGGUUUAAAUAGGCCCUGGGAUCCGGUGCCAUAAUGAUCUCGAAUCCCCCCAGGCCAGUCCGCAUCCGACGCGUGUCCCACUCCCCGUGGCAGACGGCUGAAGGCGGCUGGCGGUUGGCAGGGUCAUAAUUGCACCGUACCUAGGCCA